CGCGCAGGGCUCGGCUGCUGGCCGGGCAGGCUUCGUGGGACACCACGGUCUCUGCGCGGUCGGCAUGGAGGAGCGCAGCGAUUCCGAGCCUACCCCGGGAUGUAGCGGCCUUGGUCCGGGUCCCGUUCGCGCUGGCGGCGCCACCCCCCCCACGUGGGCUCCCGAGGACGCCUGGAUGGGCACACACCCUAAGUACUUAGAAAUGAUGGAAUUAGAUAUAGGAGAUGCCACCCAAGUUUAUAUAGCAUUCUUGGUUUACCUGGAUCUCAUGGAGAGUAAAAGUUGGCAUGAAGUAAACUGUGUAGGAAUACCAGAACUUCAGCUUAUCUGUCUCCUUGGCACUGAGAUAGAAGGGGAGGGGCUACAGACUGUGGUGCCCACACCCAUUUCUGCUUCCCUCAGCCAUAACAGGAUAAGGGAAAUCUUGAAGGCGUCUAGAAAACUGCAAGGUGAUCCAGAACUGCCCAUGUCUUUUACUUUGGCCAUUGUGGAGUCGGAUUCCACAAUAGUCUAUUAUAAGCUUACAGAUGGAUUUAUGCUGCCAGACCCUCAGAAUAUUUCGCUCAGAAGAUGACAUCUGUCCUCUUGAUGCUGAUUUCAUUUGUGAAAGAUUGGAUUUGAGGGCAUCGGCCUGUUUCGUCUUUUGUCUCAGAGAAACAUCUUUUCAGUUUCAUAAGCCUGGAACCAAACAACUUAAAGCUUCACACAUGGUAUUUCAUCUCUUUUGUUCGGAGCAUUUCUGGGCUGACUUCCUCUGUGAGGUCACUUUUUCCAUUGCUGCCCCAGCAGGAAGCCACUUCCCGACUGCUGCACAGUACUGCUUGCCAAAGCAUAUAGAGCUCCCGUCAGGAGAGGUUGUCCGCCAGCUGGAUUUUACCUUGACCACGCAUGGAAUAAUGUGCUAAUCAUAUACUUUCCCCUUCUCCCUGGACAAUGCUGCUUCUUGACACUGGCCCCUUCCAGCAGUGCACUCUUGAUGACCUGUGACUAGCAACUGCUUGUGCUCACAAAUGAAAAAAGAUGGAAAGACCAUGUCAGUGGAGUUAUCAUAAUUCCCAGCUAUAUUAUUUGAUGAUUCCAAGAAACUUCCUUCAAGUCAAUGAAAGCAAAAUCUAAAGACUGACAUUUGUUUGGGGGCUACUGAGUAGAGACAAUAUUUUAUUAAAUAUUCACUUAUUAAUUUAUCAGAUAUUAGCUAAUAUCUUAAUCGGUAGCUUAGAAGUAGAAAUGCAUUUUUUUGUAGUGUAGGGUCUGGAGGUUACAGAUCAAAGUGUCUGUCUUUUCUUACAAGGACAUAGCCUCGUUAUUGGGACCCCAUCCUCAUAACCUCACAUCACAAUAAUACCUCCCCAAAGCUCUUCAUUCCUAAAUUCAGUCACACUGGAGCCUCGGCAUGUCAAUUUGGGAUGAAGGGAUAUGAUACAGUCCAUAGCAACUGCUUCCUACAUGUGCUUAGAUAAUGCAUGGACACAGGCCCUCGAGGAACUCAGAGGCAGUGGCAGUUCUCAUCCCAGACUCUGGAAGCGUGCUGGCAAUGUCAAUUGAAGAAUACUUGUCAUACAGCAAUAUAAGCUGUCAUUUGUGUAGUUUAUGCCAUUUACCUAAGGGGGUGGGGCACAACAGCUUCUGAUUAAGUUUUCAAACACUCAUUUUAUACAUUCUAUUUCUUCUCAAGAACAUACACUAGAAGAGACACAAGGAAAAAUGGAAAAUCAACAAGCUAAGCAAACCCUUAUCCAAACUUAAUUGAAAGAGAGAAAAUAUCCAAAUGAACAAAAUCAGAAAUAAGAAUGGGACAUAGCAGACACUGAGGAAAUUAAAAGAAUCAUUAGGUCAUACUUUAAAAUCUGUACUCCACAAAAUUGGAAAAUCUAAAAGAAAUAUGUCAGGAGCAUUUUUCACAAGCUAUUGUGAGCCACGAUGCAAUUACAGCUUAUAGCAAUUGAUAAUUCAGAUGUCAGCCCACCAGAGAAAUUAUUCUCGGAGCGACCCUGCAAGGAAAGGCCAUCAGGGCCACUGGCUCUGAAAACUUGCUUUCAUGUGAUUUCACAUGUGCAAUAACAGCUAUGAUAUCCCCCUAUCGCCAUGCAUUUUCAUGCAGUGUGUACAUGUAAUCUCAUGGUUGGAUCUCAACCUUAUGAGUACAUAUAUCUGUGGAUGGUCAGGAAGAUGGCUUCUGUGUUGUUUUGGUAUAUAGAGCAAGUGCUCAUAGUCAGAAACUUUGAAGCCUGUUCUCUAUCAAUAGCUGGACCCACAGGGCAAAUUGGCCAGAUGAGUGAGUGCCCAGUGGACAGAUAACAAGCAGGACUCACAGAUAUUGUUCAUUAGCAGAAUUGCAGAUGUCUGGCCUUGUUUGGAUCAAAGCCCUACAGAAGACUUGGUGAACUAGAAUGAUAGUGCAGGUGUCUAUCCUUUUUAUAUCACAGUUCUUCAAGAGAUCAAUCACACCUAUGUUGCUUCCUUCACCGGCACCUCCCUUCUCUGAUUCAAAAUAGCAAUUAACACUACCAAUUUUUUAAUGCAAGAUUUUAAAUUCAGCAGACUAACUAUUUUUGUUUAGAUCCUGAGAUUCAGGUGAUAAAAAACCUGUUAACUGACUAUAUCCAGAUAUUAUUAAUCACACUUAAAAAAUAUAGAAUAGUACACGUAUUCAUUGCCUCUUCCUCAGAUCUCUCAGUGGGGUUUAGUCUCCUUCCUUUGUAAGAGAUAGUCAAUACCUCCUCACAGCUGCAGCUCCAGUUAGCUACAAACCAGCUGAUAAGUUUUGCUACGUAACUUCAAAGAAUGCCUGUGUCCCUGAGAAUUUUUCUUGCAGUUUUUUUUUAUUACUAACAAGUUGCUAAUGAAUGGAGGUAUAAAUGCUUGGGAUUUUGUGACGAUGAGGAGAAUUAGAAUGUAAAGAAAUAAGAUUGGAAGAAUGUAGACUGUAGAGAAAUAAGAAUGUAGAAUGUAUAAGAAAUAAGAAUGGUAGAAUCGGGACAAAAAUGGAGCUAAGAAAUUAUAGGCAAUUAGGAAAAGAGAAUUUGAACUAAUGAAGAAAUAAAGCAGCAACCCUCAGAUAUUGUGUGGAGUUAUUAUAGAACUCUUUCAGUUCCUACUCCCGAGAAGCAUUUCUCUGAGGAAUCCUGGGUAAGGGCUGAGAGCUGAUCUCUUGGCCUUUAGAGAAAUAGACAAUUUUCUCAAUAGAUACUGCUUACCAAAGUUAAAUCAAGAUCAGAUAAACAAUUUAAGUAGACCUGUAAACCUUAAGGAAAUAGAAACAGUCUUACAAACAAACAAACAAACAAAAAGCCCAGGGCCAGAAGUGCAAAGUUCUACCGGACUUUCAAAGAAGAGCUAUUGCCUAUAUUCCUCAAAUUUUCCAUAAAAUUGAAACAGUAGGAACAUUGCCAAAUUCAUUUUAUGAGGUCACAGUUACACUGAUACCCCAACCACACAAAGAUUCAACAGAGGAAUUACCAAUUUCUCUCAUGAACAUAGAUGCAAAAAUAUUUAGUAAAAUACAUACCAAUCCAAGAACACAUCAAAAUCAUCUAUUAUAAUCAAAUAGACUUUGUCCCAGAGAUGCAAGGAUGGUUCAACAUAAGAAAAUCCAGUCAAUGUAAUCCACCAUAUAAAUUAACUGAAAAAAAAAAAAAAACAAAACCCUACAUGAUCAUCUCAUUAGAUGCUGAAAAGGCCUUUGACAAAAUCCAACAUUUCUUUACUAUGAAACUCUUGGAGAAAUUAAGGAUACAAGGACAUACCUAAACAUAAUAAAAGCAAUUUACAGAAAGCCUAUAGGCAGUAUCAAAUUAGGUGGAGAAAAAUCAAAGCAAUUCUACUAAAAUCAUGAACAAGAUAAGGCUGUCCAUGCUCUCCAUAUCUAUUCAAUAUGCUACUUAAAGUUCUAGUGGGAGCAAUAAGAACCAAAGUAGAUCAAGGGAAUACAAAUUGGAAAGAAAGAAGCCAAAGAAUCAAUAGACUUUUGCAGAUGAUAUGAUACUGUACAUAAGCAACCCCA
Chionomys nivalis (European snow vole) is the source of this 4003-nucleotide RNA transcript. It is a transcript of the gene named tRNA splicing endonuclease subunit 15, with no coding region annotated. The record is from RefSeq and is a predicted model, not a curated record. NCBI's taxonomy places the organism in Eukaryota, Metazoa, Chordata, Mammalia, Rodentia, Cricetidae. The transcript is spliced from 6 exons.